ACACGACUACAUUAGAUACCCGGGUAGUCCUAGCCGUAAACGAUACUCGCUAGGUGUCGGCCGACGGUGCGACCGUUGUCGGUGCCGUAGGGAAGCCGUGAAGCGAGCCACCUGGGAAGUACGGCCGCAAGGCUGAAACUUAAAGGAAUUGGCGGGGGAGCACAACAACGGGUGGAGCUUGCGGUUUAAUUGGAUUCAACGCCGGAAAUCUUACCGGGACCGACAGCAACAUGAAGGCCAAGCUGAAGACUUUGCCGGAUUAGCUG
This 266-nucleotide ribosomal RNA is filed under the name uncultured archaeon. RNAcentral's name for it is "partial 16S ribosomal RNA". It matches the Rfam family "Archaeal small subunit ribosomal RNA", at positions 717 to 982 of the family's 1478-position model. The record is from RNAcentral.